Molecule: long non-coding RNA, 499 nt
Filed under: Marmota monax (woodchuck)
Lineage: Eukaryota; Metazoa; Chordata; Mammalia; Rodentia; Sciuridae
Source: RNAcentral
AGCCGCCCCCUCCUCCGUAGUUGGUCUUGUAAAUGUGCAGUGUCCUAGUGCCCAUCGUGUGUUGCCCCGCCUGGCCCGGCCCCUUCCUCCCUGUGCUGUGGACAUUGGCCCACUCAUCUCCCAUCCAGGCCCCUGACCAGUGAGGAUGCCAGCCUCUGGCCCCCGCCCACCGCCCUAGAGGGCUCUGUGUAUAAGGAUGAAUUACAGUUGUAAUUUUUCUCUUCACUGGAUGUUUAUUUAUAAAAGAUUUGACCUAUUCAUGUGUCUGUGGAGCAACCCUCAUCUCCCAACUAUAUAGUACCCUUUAGGUAGAGUGUUGCCUUGUGAGGUCCCCCUUGCCGAGACUCCUUGGAUGGAACCGCCCCUUGCGACCGGUGUCCAGGUCGGGGGCAGAACGCCAGCCACCAGGCCCUGGCGCCCAGCUGUGUCCAAUAAAGUUCUCGGAUGUGAAAAAAAAAAAAAAAACAAAACACAAAAUAUUAAGCUAGUCUUAUUUGCU